UGAGUAACCUGCCCUUAACUCUGGGAUAAGCCUGGGAAACUGGGUCUAAUACCGGAUAUGACUCCUCAUCGCAUGGUGGGGGGGUGGAAAGCUUUUUUGUGGUUUUGGAUGGACUCGCGGCCUAUCAGCUUGUUGGUGAGGUAACGGCCCACCAAGGCGACGACGGGUAGCCGGCCUGAGAGGGCGACCGGCCACACUGGGACUGAGACACGGCCCAGACUCCUACGGGAGGCAG
This 235-nucleotide ribosomal RNA is filed under the name uncultured bacterium. RNAcentral describes it as "partial 16S ribosomal RNA". It matches the Rfam family "Bacterial small subunit ribosomal RNA", at positions 118 to 351 of the family's 1533-position model. The record is from RNAcentral.